Molecule: ribosomal RNA, 467 nt
Filed under: uncultured organism
Description: bacterial SSU rRNA
Rfam family: Bacterial small subunit ribosomal RNA
Source: RNAcentral
GAUGAACGCUGGCGGCGUGCCUAACACAUGCAAGUCGAACGGAGUUAAGAAGUUUUCGGACUAAUUAGCUUAGUGGCGGACGGGUGAGUAACGCGUGGGUAACCUGCCUCAUACAGGGGGAUAACAGUUGGAAACGACUGCUAAAACCGCAUAAUAUUACGUCAUCGCAUGAUGAUGUGAUGAAAUAUUAUAUAGGUAUGAGAUGGGCCCGCGUCUGAUUAGCUGGUUGGCGGGGUAACGGCCCACCAAGGCGACGAUCAGUAGCCGGCUUGAGAGAGUGACCGGCCACAUUGGGACUGAGACACGGCCCAAACUCCUACGGGAGGCAGCAGUGGGGAAUAUUGCACAAUGGGGGAAACCCUGAUGCAGCGACGCCGCGUGAGUGAAGAAGUAUUUCGGUAUGUAAAGCUCUAUCAGCAGGGAAGAAAAUGACGGUACCUGACUAAGAAGCCCCGGCUAACUACGUG